This 110-nucleotide ribosomal RNA is filed under the name uncultured bacterium. RNAcentral's name for it is "partial 16S ribosomal RNA". It matches the Rfam family "Bacterial small subunit ribosomal RNA", at positions 1373 to 1482 of the family's 1533-position model. The record is from RNAcentral.
CCCGGGCCUUGUACACACCGCCCGUCACACCAUGGGAGUUGGUCUUACCCUAAGGCGGUACGCUAACCGCAAGGAGGCAGCCGGCCACGGUAAGGUCAGCGACUGGGGUG